This 481-nucleotide ribosomal RNA is filed under the name uncultured bacterium. RNAcentral's name for it is "partial 16S ribosomal RNA". It matches the Rfam family "Bacterial small subunit ribosomal RNA", at positions 28 to 507 of the family's 1533-position model. The record is from RNAcentral.
GAUGAACGCUGGCGGCGUGCUUAACACAUGCAAGUCGAACGAAGCACUUUAUUUGAUUUCCUUCGGGACUGAUUAUUUUGUGACUGAGUGGCGGACGGGUGAGUAACGCGUGGGUAACCUGCCUUGUACAGGGGGAUAACAGUUGGAAACGGCUGCUAAUACCGCAUAAGCGCACAGCAUCGCAUGAUGCAGUGUGAAAAACUCCGGUGGUAUAAGAUGGACCCGCGUUGGAUUAGCUAGUUGGUGAGGUAACGGCCCACCAAGGCGACGAUCCAUAGCCGACCUGAGAGGGUGACCGGCCACAUUGGGACUGAGACACGGCCCACACUCCUACGGGAGGCAGCAGUGGGGAAUAUUGCACAAUGGGCGAAAGCCUGAUGCAGCGACGCCGCGUGAGCGAAGAAGUAUUUCGGUAUGUAAAGCUCUAUCAGCAGGGAAGAUAAUGACGGUACCUGACUAAGAAGCACCGGCUAAAUACGUG